Molecule: ribosomal RNA, 407 nt
Filed under: uncultured bacterium
Lineage: Bacteria
Description: partial 16S ribosomal RNA
Rfam family: Bacterial small subunit ribosomal RNA
Source: RNAcentral
AUUGAACGCUGGCGACAGGCCUAACACAUGCAAGUCGAGCGGAGCGGCGGACGGGUGCGUAAUGCCUAGGAAUCUGCCUGUGAGUGGUGGAUAACGUCCGGAAACGGGCGCUAAUACCGCAUACUAUCACAUGAGCCUAGGUCGAGUUAGCUAGUUGGUGGGGUAAAGGCCUACCAAGGCAACGAUCCGUAACUGGUCUGGGAGGAUGAUCAGUCACACUGGACUGUAGAAACGGUCAAAAUUCCUACGGGGGGAAGCAGUGGGGAAUAUUGGACAAUGGGCGAAAUCCUGCUCCGGCCAUGCCGCGUGUGUAAAGAAGGUCUUCGGAUUGUAAAGCACGUUAAGUUGGAAGGCGUUACCAACAGAAUAAGCACCGGCUAACUUCGUGCCAGCAGCCGCGGUAAUAC